UCGGGAAUUUUGUCCAAUGGGCGCAAGCCUGAGACAGCAACGCCGCGUGAGGGAUGAAGGCCUUCGGGUCGUAAACCUCUGUCAGGAGGGAAGAAAGCUUCAUUGCAAAUAACGAUGAAAUCUGACGGUACCUCCAAAGGAAGCGCCGGCUAACUCCGUGCCAGCAGCCGCGGUAAUACGGAGGGCGCAAGCGUUGUUCGGAAUCAUUGGGCGUAAAGAGGGUGCAGGCGGUGGAGUAAGUCAAAUGUGAAAUCCCGGGGCCAACCCCGGAACUGCAUUCGAUACUGCUCUACUAGAGUCUCGGAGAGGAAGGCGGAAUUCCCGGUGUAGAGGUGAAAUUCGUAGAUAUCGGGAGGAACACCAGUGGCGAAGGCGGCCUUCUGGACGAUGACUGACGCUCAGACCCGAAAGCGUGGGUAGCAAACAGGAUUAGAUACCCUGGUAGUCCACGCCGUAAACGGUGAGUGCUCGUCGGUGCGGGUAUUGACCCCUGCGCUGACCAAGCUAACG
Molecule: ribosomal RNA, 510 nt
Filed under: uncultured Pseudomonadota bacterium
Lineage: Bacteria; Pseudomonadati; Pseudomonadota
Description: bacterial SSU rRNA
Rfam family: Bacterial small subunit ribosomal RNA
Source: RNAcentral